GAUGAACGCUGGCGGCGUGCCUAAUACAUGCAAGUCGAGCGAACGGACGAGAAGCUUGCUUCUCUGAUGUUAGCGGCGGACGGGUGAGUAACACGUGGAUAACCUACCUAUAAGACUGGGAUAACUUCGGGAAACCGGAACUAAUACCGGAUAAUAUUUUGAACAGCAUGGUUCAAAAGUGAAAGACGGUCUUGCUGUCACUUAUAGAUGGAUCCGCGCUGCAUUAGCUAGUUGGUAAGGUAACGGCUUACCAAGGCAACGAUGCAUAGCCGACCUGAGAGGGUGAUCGGCCACACUGGAACUGAGACACGGUCCAGACUCCUACGGGAGGCAGCAGUAGGGAAUCUUCCGCAAUGGGCGAAAGCCUGACGGAGCAACGCCGCGUGAGUGAUGAAGGUCUUCGGAUCGUAAAACUCUGUUAUUAGGGAAGAACAUAUGUGUAAGUAACUGUGCACAUCUUGACGGUACCUAAUCAGAAAGCCACGGCUAACUACGUG
This 497-nucleotide ribosomal RNA is filed under the name uncultured bacterium. RNAcentral describes it as "partial 16S ribosomal RNA". It matches the Rfam family "Bacterial small subunit ribosomal RNA", at positions 28 to 507 of the family's 1533-position model. The record is from RNAcentral.